AGCGCGAUGGCCGAUUGGUUAAGGGGUUGAACUUUAGCUUCAAUGGACGCAGGCCUUCGUGGGUUCGAAUCCCCACUCGCACUA
This is a non-coding RNA of Heligmosomoides polygyrus, 84 nucleotides long. NCBI's taxonomy places the organism in Eukaryota, Metazoa, Nematoda, Chromadorea, Rhabditida, Heligmosomidae. The record is from Rfam.